ACUUACGGCCAUGCCACCCUGAACACGCCCGAUCUCGACUGAUCUCGGAAACUAAGCAGGGUCGGGCCUGCGUAGUACUUGGAUGGUAGACCGCCUGGGAAUACCAGGUGCUGUUAGCAUUU
This 122-nucleotide ribosomal RNA is filed under the name Cynoglossus semilaevis (tongue sole). The record is from RNAcentral. Lineage: Eukaryota; Metazoa; Chordata; Actinopteri; Pleuronectiformes; Cynoglossidae.